Molecule: ribosomal RNA, 253 nt
Filed under: uncultured bacterium
Lineage: Bacteria
Description: partial 16S ribosomal RNA
Rfam family: Bacterial small subunit ribosomal RNA
Source: RNAcentral
UACGUAGGUGGCAAGCGUUGUCCGGAUUUAUUGGGUUUAAAGGGCGCGUAGGCGGUUCUAUAAGUCAGUGGUGAAAUCCGGCAGCUCAACUGUCGAUGUGCCAUUGAUACUGCAGAGCUUGAGUACAGACGAGGUAGGCGGAAUUGACGGUGUAGCGGUGAAAUGCUUAGAUAUCGUCAAGAACACCGAUAGCGAAGGCAGCUUACUAGACUGUAACUGACGCUGAGGCACGAAAGUGUGGGGAUCAAACAGG